Molecule: ribosomal RNA, 602 nt
Filed under: uncultured bacterium
Lineage: Bacteria
Description: bacterial SSU rRNA
Rfam family: Bacterial small subunit ribosomal RNA
Source: RNAcentral
GAUCAGCCCGCCCCCGAUUAGCUAGUUGGCGAGGUAAUGGCUCACCAAGGCUACGAUCGGUAGCUGGCCUGAGAGGGUGGUCAGCCACACUGGGACUGAGAUACGGCCCAGACUCCUACGGGGGGCAGCAGUCUAGAGGCUUCGGCAAUGGGGGAAACCUCUGACUGAGCGACGCUGCGUGCGGGAUUGAAGGCCUUCGGGUCGUAAAUCUGCUGUCAGGUGGGAAGAAUGCUCCGUAUGGCGAAUACGGGAGCGACGGUACUCAUCUAGAGGAAGCCUCCGGCUAACUCCGUGCCAGCAGCUCGCGGUAAUACGGAGGGGGCAAGCGUUAUUCGGAUUUACUGGGCGUAAAGGGUGCGUAGGCGGCCGCGCAAGUCUGACGUGAAAUCUUCACCGCUCAACGGGAAGAGGUCGUUGGAAACUGGCGUGGCUCGAGUGUGGUAGAGGCAAGUGGAAUUCCAGGUGUAGCGGUGGAAUGUGUAGAUAUCUGGAAGAACACCCGUGGCGAAGGCGACUUGCUGGGCCAUCACUGACGCUGAGGCACGAAAGCGUGGGGAGCAAACGGGAUUAGAUACCCCGGUAGUCCACGCCGUAAACGGUGC